Long non-coding RNA from Oryzias melastigma (Indian medaka), 1347 nucleotides. RefSeq lists it as uncharacterized. NCBI's taxonomy places the organism in Eukaryota, Metazoa, Chordata, Actinopteri, Beloniformes, Adrianichthyidae. The transcript is spliced from 2 exons. The record is from RefSeq and is a predicted model, not a curated record.
UUUCGCCACCAGGAGUGAAGUUACCACCCUCAGUGAUUUUGAUUGGUCCUUUGUGUUAGCCACGCCCUAAUGCACCAAAACAGGGCCAAAAGUUUUCAAACGGAAAUGGUCAGAUUCAAAAGCGAAAAUAAAAAAGAGUUGAAAAUGAAAAAAGGAUUUGAAAUAAAAAGAAAAAGAUUUGAAACUGAAAACAAAAGUUUUGAAAUUGAAAUUUUGAGUUUUGAAAACCAAAAAACAACACUUGAAGCUGAUAAUAAUUAAGUUGAUUUUAGAAUAGUGAAAAUUUUCGGGCAUUUCACAUUUUUUUUAGGCUAAACCCCAAUAUUUCUUUUAAGUUGCUCUAUUAUGGUUUCAAAUAAUAUUGGCCUCAAUGUAGCUCCAUACCUUAGCAUCAAGUCAUUUCAGAAUAUACAAUAAAACAACAUAAUUUUGAAACGAGAAAUUCCACACAAACAUUCAGAAAAGAGAAAAAUAAGCUAAAAUAAAAACAGUUAUGCUACGAUAACAUUAUACACACGUUCUUGAACACUUUUAGCAUACUAGCGUACACUAGAAAGCAUUGGGUCACCUAUCCUAAUGAUCAGAAUCAGGUGUUCUAGUACUUGUUCUGGCUACAGGUGUAUAGAAUCAAUCACUCAGGCUUGUGGACUGUUUUUACAAACAUUUGUGAAAGAAUCACAAACGUUUGGCACUUCUGUGAAUUAAAAAGGACGCCAUCCAUACGUCACUAAAGCAGAGAUCUUGAAUGGAGACUCACAUUCUACGCCAAUUCAAUGGACGUUUUUCUACGAAGCCCGAAAACAGAUUCUCAGCUGCUAUCUGAACUCCUGUCCUUCAAUCUCCUCUUGUUGCUACACCUGCACACAGGUAAGCUAGCAGGCGUUUAAAUAUCACCUUGUAAAUAUUUAAAGCAGUAGCCUUAAACUGGUUUAAUUAUUCAGAUCACACAGAUGUACAGUAAGGUCGGAUUUAGUAUUUUUUUUUUUUUUUUGCUGCAGUGCUUAGUAGUUCCUGGACAGAUCAAUCAGAAGAAAUGGUGAAUAAAAAAUGCUCCCCAUCGAUGCAACGGUGACAUGACAAUGUAAGUUGUUUACUCAAGAAUGCAAGGAAUUCAUACAAGCACCAUCUGCUUCACUUGACCUGGAAGCACAUCCACUCUUCUGUUUGCCUGAGUGUGUCUGAGCUGCACAGCAGAGGGAGAAGGGGAGCUCUCUGAGCUGCUAAUUACUGGAAUCAAGCUGCAGAAGUCCGUAGCUGCUUUAGAUAUUAAUUGUUGUCCCUGGAGGAAAAAGACUGUUUAGAUGUUGGGAUUAUCAUGUCAAUAAAAAAAUAAAAGGAUAAACAAGA